ACGGAGGGUGCAAGCGUUAUUCGGAAUUACUGGGCGUAAAGGGCGUGCAGGCGGGAGAGCAAGUCUGAUGUGAAAGCCCGGGGCUUAACCCCGGAAGGGCAUUGGAAACUGCUUUUCUUGAGUUCUGGAGAGGAAGGGAGAAUUCCCGGUGUAGAGGUGAAAGUCGUAGAGAUCCGGAGGAACACCAGUGGCGAGAGCGGCCUCCUGGAACACUUCUGACGCUAAGACGCGAAAGCUAGGGUAUCAAACGG
Molecule: ribosomal RNA, 251 nt
Filed under: uncultured prokaryote
Description: partial 16S rRNA
Rfam family: Bacterial small subunit ribosomal RNA
Source: RNAcentral